Long non-coding RNA from Xiphophorus maculatus (southern platyfish), 1151 nucleotides. RefSeq lists it as uncharacterized. The transcript has 3 exons. The record is from RefSeq and is a predicted model, not a curated record. Lineage: Eukaryota; Metazoa; Chordata; Actinopteri; Cyprinodontiformes; Poeciliidae.
CAAUAAUUACCGAUAUCAACUGAUAUGAAACGCUUAUGUCAAGUUCAUCCAGAUGUGGAGCGUCUCUGUAAACCUGUGAACUCUGACCCGAUAACGAGGUUCUGGAUGAAACCAGAGACGGCUCGGCUCACAUGAAAAACGUUUUCCAUCCGGCUCUUCGUCCUCCUCCUCUUCCUCCUCAGCUGCAGUGAGUUCCCGGUGCGGCCAGCAGGGGGCGCACGGCGGCAGCGGCAUCAGGGCGUGACCGGGAGGAAGAGGAGCAGCAGUGAAGGACACGCUGCUGCAUCCAGAGGAGGCACGACGGGGAAAGCUUCUGCUUCUGCUGGUUCUGAUCAACACUUCUCCAGAUUUUAUCUGGACUUCUUCACUCCAGAACCAGAACAUUGUUUAAUUAGCAGAAUUAUAUUUAUAAAUUUAUCAAAUUAGACGCAGAAAAACUCAAUCAGAAAUAAUCUGCUGAAAGAAGUGAAGCUGAAUUUAUUUCUAUCUUUUGUCUCUUCCACCUAUCAGAGGAGGCGCCGGUCCAGGAGGGAAACUGUCGCCAUAGCAACGCCCUCCAGCUCCUCCCGGAGGCCUGUUGAGCUUCUUUAGUCUCCCCAAAGUUAAAUGUUCCCAAACAGUUAAAUGUGUCACUUCCUCAAGCGAGAGAACAGAUCAGCAACCUUCUUUCAGCCAGCUGACUGGCAGUGUGCAGCACCAGGUGUGGGAGGGGCAGCUUUCAAUCAGCUGGAGAAAGUUCUGGUAACUAGAACACUGAACCAUAAGAAGGGCGUGAUGGGUCGUUGGCACAUUCUGCUAAUCGUGAUGCUAGUUUUUCUUUAGCUUUAGCUAACUAGCUAAAAUUUCCAGAUAAAUUUCUGUUUGUAAACAUUCAGUUGAAUAAAGUUUAAUGUCUGGGUCGAAGUUUUGACUGUUCAGAAUUUUUCGUAGUUACAUGUUUACAUUCAUGCUCUUAUUUUGAAAAAGCAGCAGUUCCAUUUCCUCUUCUCACGGGAAAUGCAGAGAGGUUAAAUAAAAAAUCUAAUGAUGUUUCUUCUGUACCCAGAAUGCAUUGCAGUUCUUCUAGAAGCUGAUGUGCAACGUGUUUUCUGACUGGUCAGUUAGCUAAAACCAGUAACAAUAAAACAGAAACCAUGAGAGAAAGAGCUGUU